UGGCGUGGGGGUUUCGUCGCUGCCCAUUUUUGGGGAGAGGAAAGUCCGAGCAACGCAGAGCGCCGUGCUUUCUAACGGAAAGUUGUCGGUAACGGCAAGGUUCAAGGUAACAGAGAAUGACCGCCCCGCAAGGGGUAAGGGUGAAAAGGUGGGGUAAGAGCCCACCGCCCGUGUGGCGACACAUUGGGGUCAGUACUACCGACGGGUUGCAAGCUCAAGUAUAUCGACAGUAUGUAGGGUUGCUCGCCCGAUGUCGAGGGGUAGAGUGCUUUAGCCUAUGCGAGAGCAUAGUGCAUAGAUUAAUGACGAAGGCCGCUCCGCCGAGGGAGGGUUGCGUGCAACCGACCCGAGGGGGACCCAGCGGUACAGAACUCGGCUUACACCCUGCGCCAGGUC
RNAcentral lists this RNase P RNA (396 nucleotides) under Tidjanibacter sp. RNAcentral's name for it is "RNase P RNA component class A". It matches the Rfam family "Bacterial RNase P class A". From Rfam's summary of the family: Ribonuclease P (RNase P) is a ubiquitous endoribonuclease, found in archaea, bacteria and eukarya as well as chloroplasts and mitochondria. The record is from RNAcentral. Lineage: Bacteria; Pseudomonadati; Bacteroidota; Bacteroidia; Bacteroidales; Rikenellaceae.